This 497-nucleotide ribosomal RNA is filed under the name uncultured bacterium. RNAcentral describes it as "partial 16S ribosomal RNA". It matches the Rfam family "Bacterial small subunit ribosomal RNA", at positions 28 to 507 of the family's 1533-position model. The record is from RNAcentral.
GAUGAACGCUGGCGGCGUGCCUAAUACAUGCAAGUCGAGCGAACGGACCCGAAUCUUCUUUCUCUGUUGUUAGCGGCGGACGGGUGUGUCACACGUGUAUAACCUACCUAUAAUACUGGGAUAACUUCGGGAAACCGGAGCUAACACCGGAUAAUAUUUUGAACCGCAUGGUUCAACAGUGAAAGACGGUCUUGCCGUCACUUAUAGAUGGAUCCGCGCUGCAUUAGCUAGUUGGUAAGGUAACGGCUUACCAAGGCAACGAUGCAUAACCGACCUGAGAGGGUGAUCGGCCACACUGGAGCUGAGACACGGUCCAGACUCCUACGAGAGGCAGCAGUAGGGAAUCAUCCGCAAUGGGCGAAAGCAUGACGGAGAAACGCCGCGUGAGUGAGGAAGGUCUUCGGAUCGUAAAACUCUGUUAUUAGGGAAGAACAUAUGUGUAAGUAACUGUGCACAUCGUGACGGUACCUAAUCAAAAAGCCACGGCUAACUACGUG